UACGGAGGGCGCAAGCGUUGUUCGGAAUCAUUGGGCGUAAAGCGCGUGUAGGUGGCUUGGCAAGUCGGGUGUGAAAUCCCGGGGCUCAACCCCGGAACUGCAUUCGAUACUGCCUCGCUAGAGUCCCGGAGAGGAGGGCGGAAUUCCCGGUGUAGAGGUGAAAUUCGUAGAUAUCGGGAGGAACACCAGUGGCGAAGGCGGCCCUCUGGACGGUGACUGACACUGAGAUGCGAAAGCGUGGGGAGCAAACAGG
RNAcentral lists this ribosomal RNA (253 nucleotides) under uncultured bacterium. Its description in RNAcentral is "partial 16S ribosomal RNA". It matches the Rfam family "Bacterial small subunit ribosomal RNA", at positions 524 to 776 of the family's 1533-position model. The record is from RNAcentral.